UCCCGGCCACAACCGCAGCGUUAGAACCUCGGAGCCAGAUGAAGAGGAACCACCAGGGAGCGGGUGGCUCUGGCUCCGCAGGCUGCGAGGCUGCGAGGCCCGGGACUGAGGCCGCUGCCCGCGCCUAGACCACACCUAAGUGCAGACACCUGCAGGGGGCAGGAAAGAGGGUAUUCCCCAGGACCCUGGAAUCCCAGUGCUCCCCAAAACACAGCUGGGAAGAGCCUCGGGUGAAACAUCACGGUACUCUUUAUGUGCUCCUCUCAGUGACCCCAUUCCAACCUGUGUUUUAAACACACAACAUCUUCUGGGGUUUCCACUCGUUUUCUAUAAUAUCUGUGCCACGCUUGAAUAACAACAUGCCACAGACCUUCAUCUUAUUGAAAGAAGAAACCAGAAUGUUGGGGGCUGCCCAAAUAAUGAUUGGUCUGAUUCACAGUGCUCUGGGACACGUCUGGACGCUUUUAUAUAUGAGACAAUUGCAUUCGUUUUCCAAAAUAUACCGGCCUUUUGUAUUGCUAUCAGGAUACCCAUUUUGGUCAUUUGUAUUUGGGCUACCUCAGAACUCCAGUGAAAACUGUGUAUUUCAGUCCAAUCUCUCUCAAACUUCAAUUAACUAUUAGGAUGGACUUCAAGAAUGUUAUUGAAGUUAUGAGGAAAUCUCCUGGAUGAAACGCACCCUAAGAUGGACCAUCGGCAGUUUGGGCGUUGCUCUGAUUGGUUUAUUUCUAAUUAUAAUUGAAAUCACAUCAUUUUUAGUGAAACAUGUAGAGAUUCAAUGGCCACAGCGAAGUGGGAUGAUGCUCUCCGUCUAUCUGUGGAUAUUUGGACUCUUGGAGAUGUGCCUGGCAAAUAUCGUGGUUAAAUGGCUGAAUGAAGCAUUCUAUCGAAACAUCUACAGUGCAUAAUGUUCACAGCACAGGGAAUCCUUUGCAUGAGGAUUACUAAAGAACAAGAAUCAUCAUGACCUCGGUCCAGGAUGAAAAUGUGUAACUAGUGAAUGAAGAAAGAGCACCGCUGUUCUGCCCAAGAUACUUUCUAGAAGACAUGUGUUGGUGGGUGAACUCUGUCCAAAAUGUUCCUUUUUCUCCAUUCUAUGAAUAAAAAUCAGAAUGGCUGAC
Ictidomys tridecemlineatus (thirteen-lined ground squirrel) is the source of this 1121-nucleotide non-coding RNA. The record is from RefSeq and is a predicted model, not a curated record. NCBI's taxonomy places the organism in Eukaryota, Metazoa, Chordata, Mammalia, Rodentia, Sciuridae.